UUGGGGGUGACGAUAUCUUUAAUAUUGAGACUUCUCUAUGAUUUUCAUGUAUUCAUACUGUCUGACCCAA
Small nucleolar RNA from Myxocyprinus asiaticus (Chinese sucker), 70 nucleotides. Lineage: Eukaryota; Metazoa; Chordata; Actinopteri; Cypriniformes; Catostomidae. The record is from RefSeq and is a predicted model, not a curated record.